CCUACGGGUGGCAGCAGUGAGGAAUAUUGGUCAAUGGACGAGAGUCUGAACCAGCCAAGUAGCGUGAAGGAUGACUGCCCUAUGGGUUGUAAACUUCUUUUAUAAAGGAAUAAAACGAGGCACGUGUGCCUUUUUGCAUGUACUUUAUGAAUAAGGAUCGGCUAACUCCGUGCCAGCAGCCGCGGUAAUACGGAGGAUCCGAGCGUUAUCCGGAUUUAUUGGGUUUAAAGGGAGCGUAGAUGGGUUGUUAAGUCUGGAGUGAAAUGCCGCAGCUUAACUGCGGAAUUGCUGUGGAAACUGGCGAACUAGAGUGCGGGAGGGGUAAGCGGAAUUCCUAGUGUAGCGGUGAAAUGCGUAGAUAUUAGGAGGAACACCGGUGGCGAAGGCGGCUUACUGGACCGUAACUGACGUUGAGGCUCGAAAGCGUGGGGAGCAAACAGGAUUAGAUACCCGAGUAGUC
This 460-nucleotide ribosomal RNA is filed under the name uncultured bacterium. RNAcentral's name for it is "partial 16S ribosomal RNA". It matches the Rfam family "Bacterial small subunit ribosomal RNA", at positions 338 to 795 of the family's 1533-position model. The record is from RNAcentral.